RNAcentral lists this ribosomal RNA (497 nucleotides) under uncultured bacterium. RNAcentral describes it as "partial 16S ribosomal RNA". It matches the Rfam family "Bacterial small subunit ribosomal RNA", at positions 28 to 507 of the family's 1533-position model. The record is from RNAcentral.
GAUGAACGCUGGCGGCGUGCCUAAUACAUGCAAGUCGAGCGAACAGACGAGGAGCUUGCUCCUCUGACGUUAGCGGCGGACGGGUGAGUAACAUGUGUAUAACCUACCUAUAAGACUGGGAUAACUUCGGGAAACCGUAGCUAAUACCGGAUAAUAUAUUGAACCGCAUGGGUCAAUAGUUAAAGUCGGUUGUUCUGUCACUUAUAGAUUGACCCGCGCCGCAUUAGUUAGUUGGUAAGGUAACGGCUUAACAAGGCUACGAUGGGUAGCCGACCCGAGAGGGUGAUCGGACACACGGGAACUGAGACACGGUCGCGACUCCUACGGGAGGACGCGGUAGGGAAUCUUCCGCAAUGGGCGAAAGCCUGACAGAGCAACGCCGCGUGAGUGAUGAAGGUCUUCGGAUCGUAAAACUAUGUUAUUCGGGAAGAACAAAUGUGUAAGUAACUAUGCACGUCUUGACGGUACCUAAUCAGAAAGCCCCGGCCAACUACGUG